RNAcentral lists this ribosomal RNA (253 nucleotides) under uncultured bacterium. Its description in RNAcentral is "partial 16S ribosomal RNA". It matches the Rfam family "Bacterial small subunit ribosomal RNA", at positions 524 to 776 of the family's 1533-position model. The record is from RNAcentral.
UACAGAGACUGCAAGCGUUUAUUCGGAUUCACUGGGCGUAAAGGGUGCGCAGGCGGUUGGGUGUGUCAGAUGUGAAAUCCCGAGGCUUAACCUCGGAACUGCGUCUGAAACUACUCGACUAGAGUACUGGAGAGGGAAACGGAAUUCACGGUGUAGCAGUGAAAUGCGUAGAUAUCGUGAGGAACACCAGAGGCGAAGGCGGUUUCCUGGACAGUUACUGACGCUCAGGCACAAAGCGUGGGUAGCAAACAGG